RNAcentral lists this ribosomal RNA (1479 nucleotides) under metagenome. RNAcentral describes it as "bacterial SSU rRNA". It matches the Rfam family "Bacterial small subunit ribosomal RNA". The record is from RNAcentral.
AGAGUUUGAUCCUGGCUCAGGACGAACGCUGGCGGCGUGCCUAACACAUGCAAGUCGAGCGGAGACAGUGAGUAGCUUGCUAUGAGCUGUUUUAGCGGCGGACGGGUGAGUAACGCGUGAGCAACCUUUCCCAGACAGGGGAAUAACACACCGAAAGGUGUACUAAUACCGCAUAGACCACGGGAUCACAUGGUUCUGGGGUAAAAGAUUUAUCGGUUUGGGGUGGGCUCGCGUCCGAUUAGGUAGUUGGUGAGGUAACGGCCCACCAAGCCGACGAUCGGUAGCCGACCUGAGAGGGUGAUCGGCCACAUUGGGACUGAGACACGGCCCAAACUCCUACGGGAGGCAGCAGUGGGAAUAUUGGGCAAUGGAGGAAACUCUGACCCAGCAACGCCGCGUGGAGGAAGAAGGUUUUCGGAUCGUAAACUCCUGUCCUUGGAGACGAGUAGAAGACGGUAUCCAAGGAGGAAGCCCCGGCUAACUACGUGCCAGCAGCCGCGGUAAUACGUAGGGGGCAAGCGUUGUCCGGAAUAAUUGGGCGUAAAGGGCGCGUAGGCGGCUCGGUAAGUCUGGAGUGAAAGUCCUGCUUUUAAGGUGGGAAUUGCUUUGGAUACUGUCGGGCUUGAGUGCAGGAGAGGUUAGUGGAAUUCCCAGUGUAGCGGUGAAAUGCGUAGAGAUUGGGAGGAACACCAGUGGCGAAGGCGACUAACUGGACUGUAACUGACGCUGAGGCGCGAAAGUGUGGGGAGCAAACAGGAUUAGAUACCCUGGUAGUCCACACUGUAAACGAUGAAUGCUAGGUGUAGGGGGUAUCGACCCCUUCUGUGCCGCAGUCAACACAAUAAGCAUUCCGCCUGGGGAGUACGGCCGCAAGGUUGAAACUCAAAGGAAUUGACGGGGGCCCGCACAAGCAGCGGAGCAUGUGGUUUAAUUCGACGCAACGCGAAGAACCUUACCAGGUCUUGACAUCCACUUAAACUUACAGAGAUGUAAGGUGUGCUUGCACAAAGUGAGACAGGUGGUGCAUGGUUGUCGUCAGCUCGUGUCGUGAGAUGUUGGGUUAAGUCCCGCAACGAGCGCAACCCUUAUCUUCAGUUACUAACGCGUAGAGGUGAGGACUCUGAAGAGACUGCCGGGGACAACUCGGAGGAAGGUGGGGACGACGUCAAAUCAUCAUGCCCCUUAUGACCUGGGCUACACACGUGCUACAAUGGCCACGACAGAGAGAAGCGAAAUCGCAAGGUAGAGCGGAACUCAAAAAAGUGGUCCCAGUUCGGAUUGUGGGCUGCAACCCGCCCACAUGAAGUCGGAGUUGCUAUUAAUCGCGGAUCAGCAUGCCGCGGUGAAUACGUUCCCGGGCCUUGUACACACCGCCCGUCACACCAUGGGAGUUGGGAGUGCCCAAAGCCGGUGAGGCAACCGCAAGGAGCCAGCCGUCUAAGGCAAGACCAAUGACUGGGGUGAAGUCGGAACAAGGUA